This 825-nucleotide long non-coding RNA is filed under the name Olea europaea subsp. europaea. The record is from RNAcentral. Lineage: Eukaryota; Viridiplantae; Streptophyta; Magnoliopsida; Lamiales; Oleaceae.
AUUAAACUAGGUAGUUUCAUCUAAUCUGAUGAAACGAUAAAGUAUCAUCUUCUUUGCUCAAUCAACUUUCUCUUUAAAGGUUACCUAUUGAUUCUAGAUUACAUCAACUUUUAACUUUAAAGCAUCUAUAUAUACAAUAAAAAGACCUCAAAUAUUCAAGCUCUCUCUCUCUAGAUAACAUACAGAGAUGGCUAGAUAUUACAAUUCAACUUAUUCUGAUUAUCUCCAAUAUUUGUCACUGCCAAUCCACUUCUUCUUCUUCCUAGCUGUACUAUUUCUCUUCUUGAUCAUAACUUGGUACAUAAACUAUGAGUUCUUGUAUGAAGACUUGAUGAAUCAGAUCAAGUUAUCCCUCAUGAUAUUACCAGUGCUACUUCUACUUAUCCUGCACUGGUUGUCUGUCCACAAUCCACAGAGAGUCCCAUUCGCUAUGUCAUUCCCCAAGAAGGAUGCACUUCAUAGGGCCGGAGGGUCGCCAUGGGGAGUGGCUAUUCUGCUUGUGUUCCUUAUGUUCAUGAUCACUCACCGUGCUUCUUUGCAAGAAAGAUGGUUUCCCUUGUUUAGAAGACGACGAUAUUAGACAUGCACAAAAAGAUUGUGCAUUAGCUUGCUUCAACCUCUAAAGUGAUGACUACUUUAAUGUAUUAUGGUCAAAUUGUGUACCUUUGAUAAAAGGAAGUGAUAAUGUGUAAUGAAUCAUUCAAAUAUUCUUAUUGUGAGUCUAUGAAAUUAUUCUAAUUAUCAUGCCAUAUUUAUAGAUUAGGCAUCAAAUUAUUUGAAGAAUUUCAUAAAUUCAAAGCAUUUUGAUUAAAUGCUUGUCCAAUC